UUAAUUUAUAGAAAAGGUGAAGGGAAAUGGAAAUAAUAAUAUGUGCUGUGUAACGUGGGCCCAUGAUCUGUCAGCAUUUGCCAAGCACGACCAAGACCUAUUAUGCAGGAUGCAACUUACAUGAGGAAAAAUGUUCCUGUGAUUUUGGGUAUCAACAAAAACCCUCCCCGUGAACCUCUGAGUUUGGUGAAAAGAGAAAAUUUCCAUGGAAAUAAAUAAGAGGCAUUAUUUUUGGAGCUACUUACAUAUGUAAUGUGUGAUGAGAGAGUAUGCUAGAGGUAACCAUCCAUCAGUUCUUCUAGAGGUGAAGUUCUGUCUGAAGAGGACUACAGGGAUAAAACUGAAGGUGAACAGUGCUGUGGAAGUGUCACGGUGACCACUGACAGCAUCAAAUUUAGGCCCACUGAUUUCUGAUCGCUUUGACAAAUAUGGAGUGAAGAAAUACAACAAUUUUUGUCUCUUAAAAUACUUCAGAUGAUGGAAUGCUGGGUUGUCAGAAACGUCAAUUGUGAAAAUCAUUCUUACAAGAAGUCAGUCAGAAGUGCUUCCCUUGCACACUGCAACCAGAGAACCACCUUCAUUGAUGUCCUAGAGCCCUCCCAGCCCUCUGCUUGCUAGGCAACAGCAUCCAUGUGGCUGCAGAUCAAAUAGAACACAGGAAACUACUGAACUUCCCCAUAGUUUUUCUGUUAGUAGCAAUAAUCGUUACUUUUUUGUGCACAGCUAUCAAUUUAUGAAUUUUCUUGACUUCUUUGGGGGAUUUUACCUUUGUACAAAUAUGGUGGAAAUAUGCUGAUAUAUUAACAAGUUAUUAAGUUCAGGUGAUGGAACUUCUGGAGAAUUAUAAUCUACUCUCAUGAACCCAUUCUGUA
Molecule: long non-coding RNA, 872 nt
Organism: Phasianus colchicus (ring-necked pheasant)
Lineage: Eukaryota; Metazoa; Chordata; Aves; Galliformes; Phasianidae
Source: Ensembl